CGCGGCGGCUGGUUCGGCUGGUUCUGGUCCGGCUGGUUCUGGUUCGGCUGGUUCUGCUUCGACUGCGGCGGCCGGUUCGGUUUCGGCUGUUCCGGCC
RNAcentral lists this transfer RNA (97 nucleotides) under Paractinoplanes durhamensis. RNAcentral describes it as "Actinoplanes durhamensis tRNA-Gln". Lineage: Bacteria; Bacillati; Actinomycetota; Actinomycetes; Micromonosporales; Micromonosporaceae. The record is from RNAcentral.